GGGAGUUCCAGCCAAUCAUGGCUCUAACACUGUGCUUUUAAUUGAGACUGAAAAGACCCCUGGUGGCAUGUUGGUGGGGUAAGUGUGUAUGUUGACUAUGCAAACAAUGAGGAAUUAAAACAAGAAAUGCAGUCAACCUUUCCUCAACUACCAGAAACAAAGCUGUUUACACAAGUCGUGUAAUCCACAAUCCCUUUUUCUCCAGACCCAGUCUGUCCCUAAUCAGCAAGCAUAUGGUAGGCAGGAGAGAAGCCCACAUUUAAAAGACAAAGCAUUUUGGAAGUCAAAUUGUUUAUUGAACAAAUCAUGCAAGAGUAGCAGGAACACCAGGACAAAUCAAAACCGUACAACCUAAGUGUCAGCAAGUGACCAAAUCAGAUGUAAAUUUUAGUCGUAUGGUUUUGAAAAAAAAAAAAAAAUCAUACCAUUGUAGUGUUCACCCCUGUAAACAAUUUGCAUAACGAUGAGCAAGUGAAGGAGAUCCUCAUUUCAAACAAGUGCAUUAGUUUGCACAAUUCCUCACCUCAGUUACCUUUGCCCUUUUCUUCAAAGGGAGGCACAGUAACAGGGGAAAGCCGAUUAAGGAGUUGGGCAAACCAAAUUAUGAUCUCCCUAUCUAGCUUGUUGAGGGGUCGGGCCGUCUGUUCAAGGCCGGCCGCUUCUGCAGAGGUAUGUUUGGCAGUUGCUUCAGCAGAGGCGCGGGGGCCAGCCGCUUCUGCAGAGGUAUGUUUGGCAGUUGCUUCAGCAGAGGCGCGGGGGCUAGCUGCUUCUACAGAGGUAUGUUUAGCAGUUGCUUCAGCUGAGGCGCGGGGUCCGACGGCCGCUUCUGCAGAGGUAUGUUUGGCAGUUGCUUCAGCUGAGGCGCGGGGGCCAGCCACUUCUGCAGAGGUAUGUUUGGCAGUUGCUUCAGCAGAGGCGCGAGGGCCGGUGGCCGCUACUGCAGAGGUAUGUUUGGCAGUUGCUUCAGCUGAGGCGCGGGGGCCAGCCGCUUCUGACGAGGCAUGGUUGGCAGUUGCUUCAGCUGAGGCGCGGGGGCCAGCCGCUUCUGACGAGGCAUGGUUGGCAGUUGCUUCAGCAGAGGCGUGGGGGCCGGCGGCCGCUUCUGCAGAGGUAUGGCUGGCAGUUGCUUCAGCUGAGGCGCGGGGGCCAGACGCUUCUGACGAGGCAUGGUUGGCAGUUGCUUCAGCUGUGGCAUUUGGACCCUGCGUCACACUUGCCAGGGUAUUGUAGCCAGUAGCUUUAGCAUUUGGACCAGACACCACACUUGCUUGGGAUCCAGUUGGUUCAGGUCCAGUGCAGGCAGGAUGCCCAUAAGCAUCACCUAGGAAACAAAGAAAACAUUGUGGUAAAAUGCCAGCCUGAAGCCAUUGGAACUAGACUGAUUUUAACUGAAGUAGUGUAAACCAAAACACACCUUGAAGUGGAAAACAAGUUAUCCCUCCAAUUAGCAGGCAACAAAUCCAAGAAACACUACAAAACAUUCAGACAGGUAAACAUCAAUAUCCAGUGAGCACUUUAAGACAAGGUAAACCAAUCAGAUGAACGCAUUGAAAAACUAACCUCAAAGAGAGUCCAAAAGUCACAGCCAUUUUAGUGAUCAAAACCACAACCGUAUUCAGAACUAAUGCUACACAGACACCCUACCAGAAUAUCCCUGUUGCAAUGUCUAACAGCUGUUUUGGUUGCACCUCAUAAAGGAAUCCCAGACCCUUCUUACCUGAAUGGCUAAUUAUGUACAGCUGUC
Molecule: long non-coding RNA, 1744 nt
Filed under: Oncorhynchus kisutch (coho salmon)
Lineage: Eukaryota; Metazoa; Chordata; Actinopteri; Salmoniformes; Salmonidae
Description: lncRNA (ENSOKIG00005003619.1)
Source: RNAcentral